CGCACGGGUGAGUAACACGUAGAUAACCUACCCUUUAGUUUGGGAUAACUUUCUGAAAAGGAGGCUAAUACCGAAUAACACUAGAAAUCGAGUGGUUUUUAGUUGAAAGAUUUAUCGCUAGGGGAUGGGUCUGCGUACCAUUAGCUUGUUGGUAGGGUAAAGGCUUACCAAGGCUUCGAUGGUUAGCGGGUCUGAGAGGAUGAUCCGCCACACUGGAACUGAGACACGGUCCAGACUCC
This 239-nucleotide ribosomal RNA is filed under the name uncultured bacterium. Its description in RNAcentral is "partial 16S ribosomal RNA". It matches the Rfam family "Bacterial small subunit ribosomal RNA", at positions 99 to 339 of the family's 1533-position model. The record is from RNAcentral.